CCUACGGGCGGCAGCAGUAGGGAAUCUUUCACAAUGGGCGAAAGCCUGAUGGAGCAACGCCGCGUGCAGGAUGAAGGCCUUCGGGUUGUAAACUGCUUUUAUAAGCGAGGAAUAUGAUGGUAACUUAUGAAUAAGGAUCGGCUAACUACGUGCCAGCAGCCGCGGUCAUACGUAGGAUCCGAGCAUUAUCCGGAGUGACUGGGUGUAAAGAGUUGCGUAUGUGGCAUAAUAAGUAGCUAGUGAAAUCUGGUGGCUCAACCAUUCAGACUAUUAGCUAAACUGUUAAGCUCGAGACCGUUAGGGGUAACUGGAAUUUCUAGUGUAGGGGUGAAAUCCGUAGAUAUUAGAAGGAACACCAAUGGCGUAGGCAGGUUGCUGGGACGGUUCUGACACUAAGGCACGAAAGCGUAGGGAGCAAACGGGAUUAGAUACCCUUGUAGUC
This 442-nucleotide ribosomal RNA is filed under the name uncultured bacterium. Its description in RNAcentral is "partial 16S ribosomal RNA". It matches the Rfam family "Bacterial small subunit ribosomal RNA", at positions 338 to 795 of the family's 1533-position model. The record is from RNAcentral.